GGAGAGAUGGCCGAGAGGUUUAAAGCGUCGGAUUGCUAAUCCGUU
RNAcentral lists this transfer RNA (45 nucleotides) under Ptisana attenuata. RNAcentral's name for it is "partial tRNA-Ser". The record is from RNAcentral. Lineage: Eukaryota; Viridiplantae; Streptophyta; Polypodiopsida; Marattiales; Marattiaceae. RNAcentral also lists the same sequence under 1 other name.